GCACCAUGGAUUAUUGGGCAGUGGGGAUUCUGUAUGCAGAUAGGGAGGAGUCGUCUGUGAUGGUUAAGCUCUGCCCCAUCUAACAGUGGAGAGAGAAGAUCCUUGCUCAGAUCCAAUAUGAGAAGCAGCAGCAGAAGAAAAAGAAACAGCAUCAGCAGCAGUGCAAUUGCUUCCAUUCGUCUGACAUAGACAUUUGUGAAUCUCUGUAUUCAACCAAUUUCUUUUUAACCAGCAACCUUCUUAUCUAGCACUAUGACAUCUCGGGCAAUAAACAAGAAAAGCUGACACUCUGAAGACUCUGAUGUGUAACCAUGGCCUUCAAAAUGUGUGACAAUGGCUCAUGCUGAGGGACACAACAUAAAGUUCAGCAGAAGCAUUUGACAUAAUGUGGGAUUCAUUUCUUCAAGAGCUAUAACCCAUUUCCUGAUUCAGCAUUUUCAGCACCAAUAAUUUAUAGUGACAGAAUGAAAUAACACCAUCUGAACAUGGGAAUGGAAACAAACUUGAGU
Hemicordylus capensis (graceful crag lizard) is the source of this 509-nucleotide long non-coding RNA. RefSeq lists it as uncharacterized. NCBI's taxonomy places the organism in Eukaryota, Metazoa, Chordata, Lepidosauria, Squamata, Cordylidae. The record is from RefSeq and is a predicted model, not a curated record. The transcript is spliced from 3 exons.